Molecule: ribosomal RNA, 369 nt
Filed under: uncultured bacterium
Lineage: Bacteria
Description: bacterial SSU rRNA
Rfam family: Bacterial small subunit ribosomal RNA
Source: RNAcentral
GACGAACGCUGGCGGCGUGCCUAACACAUGCAAGUCGAGCGGUAAGGCCCUUUCGGGGGUACGACGAGCGGCGAACGGGUGAGUAACACGUGGGUGACCUGCCCUCAGCUCUGGGAUAAGCCUGGGAAACCGGGUCUAAUACCGGAUAUGACUCCAUGACGCAUGUUGUGGGGUGGAAAGCCUUGUGCGGCUGAGGAUGGGCCCGCGGCCUAUCAGCUUGUUGGUGGGGUGAUGGCCUACCAAGGCGACGACGGGUAGCCGGCCUGAGAGGGCGACCGGCCACACUGGGACUGAGACACGGCCCAGACUCCUACGGGAGGCAGCAGGUGGGGAAUCUUGCGCAAUGGGCGAAAGCCUGACGCAGCGACG